UAAAUAACAAUCGGUAUGUUGCUUUCUUGUGACAUUUCCGGAGUUGGGUCAUCUUAAUCUUUAAGGGACCUAAAAUUGAUGUUUUUGAGCAUCUUGACGUGUAUAAUUUUUUUUAUCUCGUCGCCGGAUGCCAAAUAUUAUUAGGUGUGGCCAUGUUAAGUGGUUUCAUGCCUAUAUAGGAAUCUUGAUU
Molecule: unclassified non-coding RNA, 190 nt
Filed under: uncultured Glomeraceae
Lineage: Eukaryota; Fungi; Glomeromycota; Glomeromycetes; Glomerales; Glomeraceae
Description: sequence contains ITS2
Source: RNAcentral